RNAcentral lists this small RNA (26 nucleotides) under Bombyx mori (domestic silkworm). RNAcentral's name for it is "ovarian small RNA-16795". Lineage: Eukaryota; Metazoa; Arthropoda; Insecta; Lepidoptera; Bombycidae. The record is from RNAcentral.
GCGACAGAUGCGGUGAAGGGGGGCCA